AACGAACGCUGGCGGCGUGCCUAACACAUGCAAGUCGAACGUGAUCCGCCCUUCGGGGUGGUGAAAGUGGCGCACGGGUGAGUAACGCGUGGAUAAUCUGCCCGAGGAUUUGGGAUAACAUCUCGAAAGGGGUGCUAAUACCGAAUAAGCCCACGGGGUCUACGGAUCUUGCGGGAAAAGGGGGGGACCUUCGGGCCUCCUGUCCUUGGAUGAGUCUGCGUACCAUUAGCUAGUUGGUGGGGUAAUGGCCUACCAAGGCGACGAUGGUUAGCUGGUCUGAGAGGAUGAUCAGCCACACUGGAACUGAGACACGGUCCAGACUCCUACGGGAGGCAGCAGUGGGGAAUUUUGCGCAAUGGGGGAAACCCUGACGCAGCAACGCCGCGUGGGUGAUGAAGGCCUUCGGGUCGUAAAGCUCUGUCUGGAGGGAAGAAAUGAUUGGGAGCUAAUACCUCUUGAUCUUGACGGUACCUCUGAAGGAAGCACCGGCUAACUCCGUGCCAGCAGCCGCGGUAAUACGGAGGGUGCAAGCGUUGUUCGGAAUUAUUGGGCGUAAAGCGCGUGUAGGCGGUCUUUUAAGUCUGAUGUGAAAGCCCCGGGCUCAACCUGGGAAGUGCAUUGGAAACUGGGAGGCUUGAGUACGGGAGAGGAGAGUGGAAUUCCUAGUGUAGGAGUGAAAUCCGUAGAUAUUAGGAGGAACACCGGUGGCGAAGGCGGCUCUCUGGACCGAUACUGACGCUGAGACGCGAAAGCGUGGGUAGCAAACAGAAUUAGAUACCCUGGUAGUCCACGCCGUAAACGAUGAGUACUAGGUGUUGCGGGUAUUGACCCCUGCAGUGCCGUAGCUAACGCAUUAAGUACUCCGCCUGGGAAGUACGGUCGCAAGACUAAAACUCAAAGGAAUUGACGGGGGCCCGCACAAGCGGUGGAGCAUGUGGUUUAAUUCGACGCAACGCGCAGAA
RNAcentral lists this ribosomal RNA (962 nucleotides) under uncultured bacterium. Its description in RNAcentral is "bacterial SSU rRNA". It matches the Rfam family "Bacterial small subunit ribosomal RNA", at positions 28 to 968 of the family's 1533-position model. The record is from RNAcentral.